RNAcentral lists this ribosomal RNA (465 nucleotides) under Vreelandella stevensii. RNAcentral's name for it is "partial 16S ribosomal RNA". It matches the Rfam family "Bacterial small subunit ribosomal RNA", at positions 338 to 795 of the family's 1533-position model. Lineage: Bacteria; Pseudomonadati; Pseudomonadota; Gammaproteobacteria; Oceanospirillales; Halomonadaceae. The record is from RNAcentral.
CCUACGGGUGGCAGCAGUGGGGAAUAUUGGACAAUGGGCGAAAGCCUGAUCCAGCCAUGCCGCGUGUGUGAAGAAGGCCUUCGGGUUGUAAAGCACUUUCAGUGGGGAAGAAAGCCUUGGGGCUAAUACCCUCGAGGAAGGACAUCACCCACAGAAGAAGCACCGGCUAACUCCGUGCCAGCAGCCGCGGUAAUACGGAGGGUGCGAGCGUUAAUCGGAAUUACUGGGCGUAAAGCGCGCGUAGGCGGUCUGAUAAGCCGGUUGUGAAAGCCCCGGGCUCAACCUGGGAACGGCAUCCGGAACUGUCAGGCUAGAGUGCAGGAGAGGAAGGUAGAAUUCCCGGUGUAGGAGUGAAAUGCGUAGAGAUCGGGAGGAAUACCAGUGGCGAAGGCGGCCUUCUGGACUGACACUGACGCUGAGGUGCGAAAGCGUGGGUAGCAAACAGGAUUAGAUACCCUAGUAGUC